This 329-nucleotide ribosomal RNA is filed under the name uncultured eukaryote. RNAcentral describes it as "partial 18S ribosomal RNA". It matches the Rfam family "Eukaryotic small subunit ribosomal RNA", at positions 1470 to 1796 of the family's 1831-position model. The record is from RNAcentral.
CCCUUAGAUGUCCGGGGCCGCACGCGCGCUACACUGAAGGAAUCAGCGUGGCUUUCUCCCUGACCCGAAAGGGUUGGGAAACCCGUUGAAUCUCCUUCGUGAUAGGGAUUGGGGCUUGAAAUUGUUCCCCAUGAACGAGGAAUUCCCAGUAAGCGCGAGUCAUAAGCCCGCGCUGAAUACGUCCCUGCCCUUUGUACACGCCGCCCGUCGCUCCUACCGAUUGAGUGGUCCGGUGAGGCUUUGGGAUCUGAGCGGAAAGAGCGUUUCGCUGUUUCUGCUCGGAAAACUCAGUCGAACCUUAUCAUUUAGAGGAAGGAGAAGUCGUAACA